UACGUAGGGUGCAAGCGUUAAUCGGAAUUACUGGGCGUAAAGCGUGCGCAGGCGGUUAUGUAAGACAGAUGUGAAAUCCCCGGGCUCAACCUGGGAACUGCAUUUGUGACUGCAUAGCUAGAGUACGGCAGAGGGGGAUGGAAUUCCGCGUGUAGCAGUGAAAUGCGUAGAUAUGCGGAGGAACACCGAUGGCGAAGGCAAUCCCCUGGGCCUGUACUGACGCUCAUGCACGAAAGCGUGGGGAGCAAGCAGG
This 253-nucleotide ribosomal RNA is filed under the name uncultured bacterium. Its description in RNAcentral is "partial 16S ribosomal RNA". It matches the Rfam family "Bacterial small subunit ribosomal RNA", at positions 524 to 776 of the family's 1533-position model. The record is from RNAcentral.